This 447-nucleotide ribosomal RNA is filed under the name uncultured bacterium. RNAcentral describes it as "partial 16S ribosomal RNA". It matches the Rfam family "Bacterial small subunit ribosomal RNA", at positions 29 to 523 of the family's 1533-position model. The record is from RNAcentral.
AACGAACGCUGGCGGCAGGCUUAACACAUGCAAGUCGAGCGCCCCGCAAGGGGAGCGGCAGACGGGUGAGUAACGCGUGGGAAUCUCCCCAGCUCUACGGAACAACUCCGGGAAACUUGAGCUAAUACCGUAUACGUCCUUCGGGAGCAAGAUUUAUCGGAGAUGGAUGGGCCCGCGUUGGAUUAGCUAGUUGGUGGGGUAAUGGCCUACCAAGGCGACGAUCCAUAGCUGGUCUGAGAGGAUGAGCAGCCACACUGGGACUGAGACACGGCCCAGACUCCUACGGGAGGCAGCAGUGGGGAAUAUUGGACAAUGGGCGAAAGCCUGAUGCAGCCAUGCCGCGUGAGUGAUGAAGGCUCUAGGGUUGUAAAGCUCUUUCAACGGGGAAGAUAAUGACGGUAACCGAAGAAGAAGCCCCGGCUAACUUCGUGCCAGCCGCCGCCGUAA